UGACAGCUGGUCCAGGACAGCAGCAGGGAGGCUGGGGACGUUCUUCCGGGCUUUAUGUCAUCAAGGAAAUAUUGCAGGGUUGGUUACAUGGCUUAGUGCAGUGCCAGGCCCUGAAAGCAGCUACAUCCAAGAAGAUUCCCAGUAAUAGCCUCCAAACCAGUGUGAGCUCACCUAUGCAACAGAAUUCAUCCCAGCACCCCUCCCUAGCCAGCCCCCCAGCCCUUCUGGGGCACUCUUGUAUGGCUUUGGGGCAAGGCAAGGCAUGGCAUGGAAAUGCCAUGAGAUACGUUGAUAUGAAUGAGAAAAUGAUCCAAAGAGGAGGGAAAGCCCACUUCUACCCACAGUGAUCUGAACCAAAGGCCCCCGUGAAAGUCAGGGCGUGAGUCACACAGCUGAUUAUUUAUCACCCUCAGGUUAGUCAAGCCAUUACAGUGUGUGGUGGUCUGAAACUAUGAGGUACUUGCUUACUGGAUAGCCAGCCCCAAGCAUUAAGCAUGGCCACCUGCUUUGGAUCCAGUGUGGGGGAGGACAACCACCCUUAGCUAUUAACAGUGCUGCUCACCAGUACAUCUAGUAGAAACCUACUGGCAGCAUAACUCAAUGGUAAUUCACACUGUUCUCAGUCUCCCUGUAGGUGUGGAGAGGUAGGCCAGAGCUCCCUAAAGUGGCACCUGGGACCCUGAAGAGCAGCCUGGAAUUUGCCUGCAUCGCAACCCAAGGUCUGAAGCCUGUGAGGAAAGCGCCAGAUGUGGGGGAAUGCCCUACCUGCAUCCAAGAGGAGCUGCUUCAGCUUGUUGAGGUCUGAAACCAGAGGGCUCUGAAGCAAGUCCUGAAACGAACUGCCAUGGCUACUGGACUCCUUUGGGGCAAUUUGUCCUCUCAGCUCUUCCCUCCUGAGGCCCAUCGCAGGAUCUCAGUAGGUAAUCUGGGUGAUUGUGAAGUAUCUGGCUGAAUACCAACCGGCAUAGAAGAUCCAUAAUUGCUUCCUCGGCUUGAUAGACCAUAUCAGUGUUCCAGGAUUUGCAGUUCCACAUGUUUUUCACCUAUUUUCUGGAACUGCUAAAAUGCUGAUAAUUAUGUCUGACACCCCCACUGAAUCUGCCUAAAACAGUCAAUCCUUGCACAGCUGCUCUACAAUAUACCCAUGCAUUCAAA
Molecule: long non-coding RNA, 1155 nt
Organism: Alligator mississippiensis (American alligator)
Lineage: Eukaryota; Metazoa; Chordata; Crocodylia; Alligatoridae
Exons: 2
Source: RefSeq, a predicted model, not a curated record